Molecule: transfer RNA, 103 nt
Filed under: Comamonas aquatica
Lineage: Bacteria; Pseudomonadati; Pseudomonadota; Betaproteobacteria; Burkholderiales; Comamonadaceae
Description: tRNA-Ser
Source: RNAcentral
GCUAGAGUUAAUGCGUGGGUCAGAUUGAGAUGGAAAAACCGGGGGCUAGGGAGCCUCAUUCAGAAUGAGAAGGUCGCGUGUUCGAUUCAUGUCUCCGGCACCA